This 466-nucleotide ribosomal RNA is filed under the name Vreelandella stevensii. RNAcentral's name for it is "partial 16S ribosomal RNA". It matches the Rfam family "Bacterial small subunit ribosomal RNA", at positions 338 to 795 of the family's 1533-position model. The record is from RNAcentral. Lineage: Bacteria; Pseudomonadati; Pseudomonadota; Gammaproteobacteria; Oceanospirillales; Halomonadaceae.
CCUACGGGAGGCUGCAGUGGGGAAUAUUGGACAAUGGGCGAAAGCCUGAUCCAGCCAUGCCGCGUGUGUGAAGAAGGCCUUCGGGUUGUAAAGCACUUUCAGUGGGGAAGAAAGCCUUGGGGCUAAUACCCUCGAGGAAGGACAUCACCCACAGAAGAAGCACCGGCUAACUCCGUGCCAGCAGCCGCGGUAAUACGGAGGGUGGCGAGCGUUAAUCGGAAUUACUGGGCGUAAAGCGCGCGUAGGCGGUCUGAUAAGCCGGUUGUGAAAGCCCCGGGCUCAACCUGGGAACGGCAUCCGGAACUGUCAGGCUAGAGUGCAGGAGAGGAAGGUAGAAUUCCCGGUGUAGCGGUGAAAUGCGUAGAGAUCGGGAGGAAUACCAGUGGCGAAGGCGGCCUUCUGGACUGACACUGACGCUGAGGUGCGAAAGCGUGGGUAGCAAACAGGAUUAGAUACCCCGGUAGUC